RNAcentral lists this ribosomal RNA (324 nucleotides) under uncultured eukaryote. RNAcentral describes it as "partial 18S ribosomal RNA". It matches the Rfam family "Eukaryotic small subunit ribosomal RNA", at positions 1470 to 1796 of the family's 1831-position model. The record is from RNAcentral.
CCCUUAGAUGUCCUGGGCUGCACGCGCGCUACACUGAUGUGUCCAGUAAGCACCUAACCUCUUCCGAAAGGAACGGGUAACCUUUGCGAAGCACAUCGUGAUGGGGAUAGAUUAUUGCAAUUAUUAGUCUUGAACGAGGAAUUCCUAGUAAGCACAAGUCAUCAGCUUGUGUUGAUUACGUCCCUGCCCUUUGUACACACCGCCCGUCGCUCCUACCGAUUGAAUGUUCCGGUGAGCUCUUCGGACUGCGCGGUCUGCAGUUUCUGCGUUCCGUGCGGAAAGUUGCGCAAACCUUAACAUUUAGAGGAAGGAGAAGUCGUAACA